UGGUCUACUGGAUUUGGCCCAGAGAGGGUGAAAGGCCCGUACGGGUGGAGGUUUCAGACAUGUGAGGCAAUUCACCAGACCGGCUUAGAGUCGGGUUGUUUGAGAAUGCAGCCCAAAGCGGGUGGUAAACUCCAUCCAAGGCUAAAUACUAGCACGAGUCCGAUAGCAAACAAGUACCGUGAGGGAAAGUUGAAAAGUACUUUGAAGAGAGAGUAAACAGUACGUGAAACCGCAUGCAGGUAAACGGGUGGCGUCAAGCUGCAAGCCCAGAGGAUUCAGCCGGCUAGAGUGUAGUGUAUGCGCCUGCGCAUCGAUCGGCCAGUGUAGGAUUGGGUAGUCUACUGGAAGACAGUAGGCCCUGCCGCAAGGUGGGGAUGUGUGUACCGGGCGGAGGCCGGAACACGCUAUCCGUCUAUUGGGCUGCCUAGCCGGUGCACUUUCUCUGUGGUGAACACCACGACCGGUGGAACUGCCAGUCUGUCAUAGUCAAGUCGUAGUGGGCGGGCUCUUGGGUCUGCCUGCUGUGAUCACGGGCGUGCUUGGUAAACGGCGUUAGUGCAUCUUUACGGUGUGCCGACGUGUUAUCGGCUACUAGUCGCUUUAACGGGCCUGCCUAAUGCAUGUUAUAGCCGUGUGUUGGGUGGUCUGGUGGACUUUGAUGGUAAUAAUAACUGUGCAGGGCACCGGAGUUUUCGGCCUCAAAUGCAGUCUGCAUUCAUGCUAUGAGUGUAAUGUGUUUGUGGGUGUCGUCGCGGGCUGGCUGUUGUUGGAUUUGAUUGUCGUGUUGCCUGCGAAAAGUGGGCCCGGCAGUGGUUCGAUACAGAUUGGUCUCGUUGGCGGUGCUUGCGGUGUAGACUGUGGUGGGCCAGAUAGUCUGUGGUGUAGUGGUAGACGAGCUACCCGACCCGUCUUGAAACACGGACCAAGGAGUUUAACAUGUGUGCAAGUCGUAGGGUCCUACGAAACCCGAAAGCGCAGUGAAAGUAAAGCUUUGGCAUCCUUUCGGGGGUGUCUGAAGUGAGGUGAGAUCUUGUCGUUACUCGCAUCAGCUUGCCAGUGGUAGGCAUC
Molecule: ribosomal RNA, 1068 nt
Filed under: Phormobothrium affine
Lineage: Eukaryota; Metazoa; Platyhelminthes; Cestoda; Phyllobothriidea; Phyllobothriidae
Description: partial large subunit ribosomal RNA
Rfam family: Eukaryotic large subunit ribosomal RNA
Source: RNAcentral